This 46-nucleotide non-coding RNA is filed under the name Schistosoma mansoni. Lineage: Eukaryota; Metazoa; Platyhelminthes; Trematoda; Strigeidida; Schistosomatidae. The record is from RNAcentral.
UCACUAGUGACGAGUCCCACAAUAGGACGAAACGGCUGUCCAGUGC